This 465-nucleotide ribosomal RNA is filed under the name uncultured bacterium. RNAcentral's name for it is "partial 16S ribosomal RNA". It matches the Rfam family "Bacterial small subunit ribosomal RNA", at positions 28 to 507 of the family's 1533-position model. The record is from RNAcentral.
GACGAACGCUGGCGGCGUGCCUAACACAUGCAAGUCGAACGGAGUCGGCCCCGCAAGGGACUGACUUAGUGGCGAACGGGUGAGUAACGCGUGAGCAACCUGCCUUUCAGUGGGGGACAACAGUUGGAAACGACUGCUAAUACCGCAUAAUGCAUUUUGACCGCAUGAUCGAGAUGCCAAAGAUUUAUUGCUGAAAGAUGGGCUCGCGUCUGAUUAGAUAGUUGGUGAGGUAACGGCCCACCAAGUCGACGAUAAGUAGCCGGACUGAGAGGUUGAACGGCCACAUUGGGACUGAGAUCCGGCCCAGCCUACUACGGGAGGCAGCAGUGGGGAAUACUGGGCAAUGGGGGACACCCUGACCCAGCAACGCCGCGUGAAGGAAGAAGGCUUUCGGGUUGUAAACUUCUUUUACCAGGGACGAAGAAAGUGACGGUACCUGGAGAAAAAGCCACGGCUAACUACGUG